GUUUGUUUGCUGGCACAAGACAUGCAAAUAUCUAAAUUUCUGAAUUCAAUCUAAUGGAAUGUGGGUUUAUGGGCUGAGAGGUGAGCUAGGCCACAGCAUGUGCUGAAUUCUGGGGCCACCUUUCUUUCCUCUCUCUUAAUGAAUGCUAAAAAUGAGUGCCACUGUACCAAGCCAAGAGAUGGAUGUUAGAAACAAGGGGCAAAUAUGUAAGUCUCUGGAGAGAAUAUCACUGAAGAAACUGUCUAUAAGGAGACGGUAUCCACCAGAACAAGCCAGGGGUCCUCUCACUAUUGGCCUUCUUGGAAGGCAGAGCCAGCUUAGAGAAACGCUUGGCCUUUGCCUCAGUACCACCAUUUGCACAGAGCCCCCUUUUGUGAUGCUUUGGGCUAGAAUUGACCUCCAUCCUGGGAUGCCACUCAUCCAUGUCACCCAGUGCUCGAUGGGCUCAGCUUCUGAGAGGCGUGAGGUGGGCGUGCCAUGGGGUGGCUUGUUUUCCUCGAC
Molecule: long non-coding RNA, 501 nt
Filed under: Rattus norvegicus (Norway rat)
Lineage: Eukaryota; Metazoa; Chordata; Mammalia; Rodentia; Muridae
Description: long non-coding RNA NONRATT008901
Source: RNAcentral